GCCCGCCGUACACCUUGCGCCAUGACGGGGAUUUCGGUGGCCGGGGCCCCGGCCACCAAAAUCCCCGUUAUAGGCUAUAUAGGCUAUUACGGGUUAUAUAGCCUAUAACCUUGCCUAUAGCCUAUAUAUGCUAUAGGCUAGGUUAUUGGUCCGUUAUAGGCUAUAGCUGGCAACGUAACGGGCCGGCAUGCCAGGGCCCCGUUGAAAGGGUCCUUGCAACGGGGCAUAACAGCCCCCGUGCAAUGCCCGAGCCCUGUUAUGGCGGGGUGCUGCCAUAACCAGGACAGUCAAUACUGUCCUGGUUAUGGCAAUACAGGGCCGUGGUAAGGGCAGCAUGGCAGGUCAAGGCCAUAACAAGGACUGUUACGAUCCCAUAACAGGGCCAUAACAGUCCCUAUUAUGGUGCCGGCUAUAGUCCUUGCGCGGGAUAUAGGGCAGGGUCGGCGCAGUCUCGUUUCCUCCCUGCAAAGUCACAACGUACGGCUUGGCCCGUCUGUUGUGGUAACCGACAAACUUCUGGUUUGUGGAGGGUUCGGCGAUGGCUUGUUUCUGGCCCUCCCUGGGUUGCCGCUUUUCCGGUAUUUUGCCCGAGUUUGGUAUCCUAGGUCCUCUUCUUUCGGGAGGACUGGCUGUUGUAAAUCCGUUCGGCCUAUUUGUGUUUUUGAUCCC
RNAcentral lists this long non-coding RNA (669 nucleotides) under Androctonus crassicauda. The record is from RNAcentral. Lineage: Eukaryota; Metazoa; Arthropoda; Arachnida; Scorpiones; Buthidae.